GUGCCAGCCGCCGCGGUAAUACCGGCAGCUCGAGUGAUGUCCCAUAUUAUUGGGCCUAAAGCGUCCGUAGCUGGCCGACCAAGUCUCCCGGGAAAUCCACCCGCCCAACGAGUGGGCGUCCGACGGAAACUGCACAGCUUGGGACCGGAAGGCGCGACGGGUACGUCCGGGGUAGGAGUGAAAUCCCGUAAUCCUGGACGGACCGCCGAUGGCGAAAGCACGUCGCGAAGACGGAUCCGACAGUGAGGGACGAAAGCUAGGGUCUCGAACCGGAUUAGAUACCCCAGUAGUCC
This 293-nucleotide ribosomal RNA is filed under the name uncultured bacterium. RNAcentral's name for it is "partial 16S ribosomal RNA". It matches the Rfam family "Archaeal small subunit ribosomal RNA", at positions 455 to 747 of the family's 1478-position model. The record is from RNAcentral.